UACGUAGGGCGCAAGCGUUGUCCGGAAUUAUUGGGCGUAAAGAGCUUGUAGGCGGUUUGUCGCGUCUGCUGUGAAAACCUAAGGCUCAACCUUGGGCUUGCAGUGGGUACGGGCAGACUAGAGUGCGGUAGGGGUGACUGGAAUUCCUGGUGUAGCGGUGGAAUGCGCAGAUAUCAGGAGGAACACCUAUAGCGAAGGCAGCUUGCUGGGACGUUACUGACGCUAAGGCGCGAAAGCGUGGGGAGCGAACAGG
Molecule: ribosomal RNA, 253 nt
Filed under: uncultured bacterium
Lineage: Bacteria
Description: partial 16S ribosomal RNA
Rfam family: Bacterial small subunit ribosomal RNA
Source: RNAcentral